AAUUUUUGUAAAAAUUAUAAAAAUUAUAAACUAUCUAUAGACCGUAUGAAUAUUUAUGUAUUAAAAACUAAACUUCUUGUUCUGUUGCCUUUCGCUUUUUUCAAC
This is a long non-coding RNA of Rhagoletis zephyria (snowberry fruit fly), 105 nucleotides long. RefSeq lists it as uncharacterized. The record is from RefSeq and is a predicted model, not a curated record. NCBI's taxonomy places the organism in Eukaryota, Metazoa, Arthropoda, Insecta, Diptera, Tephritidae.